GAACGCUAUCGGUAUGCUUAACACAUGCAAGUCGGACGAAUUAAUUAGGGCUUGCCCUAAUUAAUUAGUGGCAGACGGGUGAGUAACACGUGGGAAUCUACCCAUCAGUACGGAAUAACUUUUAGAAAUAAAAGCUAAUACCGUAUAUUCUCUGAGGAAAGAUUUAUCGCUGAUGGAUGAGCCCACGCCAGAUUAGGUAGUUGGUGAAGUAAUGGCUCACCAAGCCAACGAUCUGUAGCUGGUCUGAGAGGAUGAUCAGCCACACUGGGACUGAGACACGGCC
This 283-nucleotide ribosomal RNA is filed under the name uncultured Rickettsia sp. RNAcentral's name for it is "partial 16S ribosomal RNA". It matches the Rfam family "Bacterial small subunit ribosomal RNA", at positions 31 to 331 of the family's 1533-position model. Lineage: Bacteria; Pseudomonadati; Pseudomonadota; Alphaproteobacteria; Rickettsiales; Rickettsiaceae. The record is from RNAcentral.